This 241-nucleotide unclassified non-coding RNA is filed under the name plant metagenome. RNAcentral's name for it is "partial contains small subunit ribosomal RNA, internal transcribed spacer 1, and 5.8S ribosomal RNA". The record is from RNAcentral.
UUUCCGUAGGUGAACCUGCGGAAGGAUCAUUAAAGAGUAAGGGUCUUCGGGCCCGAUCUCCAACCCUUUGUUUAACUACCAUGUUGCUUUGGCGGGCCCGUCUCACGACCGCCGGAAGUUUGGCUUCGACCAAACUUCUGGCCCGUGCCCGUCAGUGGCCCCUUCAAAUUCUUGAUCAAGUAUGAUGUCUUAGUUAAAAACUUAAUAGUUAGAACUUUCAACAACGGAUCUCUUGGUUCUG